UUCUAUAGCAUGCAAAACGUGAUUUGCGCUGAGAUGAACAUAUAUGUUCAUGACGCGAGUAAUUUUCACUUUUCACUGAUCCAAAGGAGGUCACGUGGGAUUGCUUGACGGUUGCGAAAUUAACAGCAAUGAAAAUGGCGAAACGAAACUUGUGAAUCGUGCAUUUGCUCUUCAUGGUAGCUGCCAGAAAAUCGAAUCAAACUCAUGGGACACUGGAUUACAGGUUGCUGCCACUACUCCAUGUGCCCGCAAUUGUCUUGCGUGUAUGAUUACACUAACGACGUCGCCCACCACGGCGGAAGUGUUUUGCGUACACGCGUUUCAGCAUGAAGCCUGCAGGUGGACGUAAAUUGUAGAAGGCAGCUAGUGGGGGAGAAGAUCAUGGUCAUAGGUCAUGUGGCUCCUGGAGCUCCCAGUGGGCUCCCUUGUGGAGUACUUUUCAGAACACGCACACAGUUCGCUCACAGAACCAACGAGUAGGAUGUUGCUUGAAUACUGAGAGAAAAUGGCGUAAAUAUCGUGUGACACAUAUUACAAUAAAAACAUUUUUCACGAGGGAUGCAUGAAACACUGUCGCAAUAUUGUGUGCAUGAACUAUUGUGUGUGACACAAGCUGUGGGGGCACACCGCCUCGGACACAUUUUGGGAAGCAUAAAACACAGUAUAUACACAGCUAAUAUGGUGGAUGCUUCCUUUUUUCUUUUUGGCCGUUAUGAGACAUCUUCGGCCGUAAUGAGACUACCUUCGGCCGUAUUGAGACUUUGGCCGUAACGAGACACUUGGGGAUUAAAGGAUUUUCGGCCGUAAUGAGACUUUCGGCCGUAAUGAGACUUGGGCCGUAAUGAGACUUCGGCCGUAAUGAGAUGUUACCCGCCAGGACACUCGAAUAGUACGACGGAAGAUGAAAGUCACUGAAAAGGUUAAGCCAGCUGUAGGAAUCGAUCCCACAUCUUCUGGAUGUGGGCUCGAGUCCAACAGCUGGCUAACAUUUUCAGUGACUUUCAUCUUCCGUCGUUCAUUUCUUAGGCAAUUUGAGGCUUUGUAUGUGUUUGUCCUUUCUAUGUUGUUCCAGCCUCAGAACAUCAGUUCUCUCUUGCUCACGCGAAUAGUUCCAAGGGUGGCCGGCGCGCACGGUUGUGACGCUUCAGUCGCUGCAGUGUUUACAUAAUACGGGGAGCUCUAUUGAUGUUGUUUGUUGCUGUCAUUGUUGAUGCUGUGAUCGGAGUCAUUGCUGUGUUCAAAAUUUCUACAAAUUAAAAAAUCUAAAAUGAUAGUGUCUUGGACGCCAAAAAGGGUUGAAAUAAAGAACUGCGGUCAA
Molecule: long non-coding RNA, 1318 nt
Organism: Ornithodoros turicata
Lineage: Eukaryota; Metazoa; Arthropoda; Arachnida; Ixodida; Argasidae
Exons: 3
Source: RefSeq, a predicted model, not a curated record